Molecule: ribosomal RNA, 453 nt
Filed under: uncultured bacterium
Lineage: Bacteria
Description: bacterial SSU rRNA
Rfam family: Bacterial small subunit ribosomal RNA
Source: RNAcentral
UACGGAAGGCAGCAGUGGGGAAUAUUGCACAAUGGGCGCAAGCCUGAUGCAGCCAUGCCGCGUGUAUGAAAAAGGCCUUCGGGUUGUAAAGUACUUUCAGUCGUGAGGAAGGUGUUAAGGUUAAUAACCUUAGCAAUUGACGUUAGCGACAGAAGAAGCACCGGCUAACUCCGUGCCAGCAGCCGCGGUAAUACGGAGGGUGCGAGCGUUAAUCGGAAUUACUGGGCGUAAAGGGCACGCAGGCGGUUAAUUAAGUUGGAUGUGAAAUCCCCGGGCUUAACCUGGGAAUGGCAUUCAAGACUGGUUAGCUAGAGUCUUGUAGAGGGGGUAGAAUUCCAUGUGUAGCGGUGAAAUGCGUAGAGAUGUGGAGGAAUACCGGUGGCGAAGGCGGCCCCUGGACAAAGACUGACGCUCAUGUGCGAAAGCGUGGGGAGCAAACGAGGGAUUAGAUAC